This 301-nucleotide ribosomal RNA is filed under the name uncultured bacterium. Its description in RNAcentral is "partial 16S ribosomal RNA". It matches the Rfam family "Bacterial small subunit ribosomal RNA", at positions 509 to 809 of the family's 1533-position model. The record is from RNAcentral.
CAGCGCCGCGGGAAUACGUAGGUCCCGAGCGUUGUCCGGAUUUAUUGGGCGUAAAGGGAGCGCAGGCGGUUUAGUAAGUCUGAAGUUAAAGGCAUUGGCUCAACCAAUGUAUGCUUUGGAAACUGUUAGACUUGAGUGCAGAAGGGGAGAGUGGAAUUCCAUGUGUAGCGGUGAAAUGCGUAGAUAUAUGGAGGAACACCAGUGGCGAAGGCGACUCUCUGGUCUGUAACUGACGCUGAGGCUCGAAAGCGUGGGUAGCAAACAGGAUUAGAUACCCGCGUAGUCCCUGUCUCUUAUACAC